UGGGGAAUUUUGCGCAAUGGACGAAAGUCUGACGCAGCAACGCCGCGUGGGUGAUGAAGGUCUUCGGACUGUAAAACCCUGUCGUCAGGGACGAAGGUGUGCAUGUUAAUAGCGUGUGCACUUGACGGUACCUGGAGAGGAAGCCCCGGCUAACUCUGUGCCAGCAGCCGCGGUAAUACAGAGGGGGCAAGCGUUGUCCGGAAUUAUUGGGCGUAAAGAGCUCGUAGGUGGUUCGUCACGUCGGAUGUGAAAAUCUGGGGCUUAACCCCAGACCUGCAUUCGAUACGGGCGAGCUAGAGUGUGGUAGGGGAGACUGGAAUUCCUGGUGUAGCGGUGGAAUGCGCAGAUAUCAGGAGGAACACCAGCAGCGAAGGCGGUGAUCUGGGCCAAUACUGACGCUGAGGAGCGAAAGCGUGGGGAGCGAACAGG
This 429-nucleotide ribosomal RNA is filed under the name uncultured bacterium. Its description in RNAcentral is "bacterial SSU rRNA". It matches the Rfam family "Bacterial small subunit ribosomal RNA", at positions 355 to 776 of the family's 1533-position model. The record is from RNAcentral.